This 68-nucleotide transfer RNA is filed under the name Alligator mississippiensis (American alligator). RNAcentral describes it as "tRNA-Pro". Lineage: Eukaryota; Metazoa; Chordata; Crocodylia; Alligatoridae. The record is from RNAcentral.
CAAGAAGUAGUUUAGUUAGAAUGUCGGCUUUGGGGGCCGAAGGUGCAAAGUUUUGUUUGCUUUCUUGA